This 510-nucleotide ribosomal RNA is filed under the name uncultured bacterium. RNAcentral's name for it is "bacterial SSU rRNA". It matches the Rfam family "Bacterial small subunit ribosomal RNA", at positions 9 to 514 of the family's 1533-position model. The record is from RNAcentral.
GAGUUUGAUCAUGGCUCAGAUUGAACGCUGGCGGAAUGCUUUACACAUGCAAGUCGAGCGGCAGCGCGGGGGCAACCCUGGCGGCGAGCGGCGAACGGGUGAGUAAUGCAUCGGAACGUACCCAGUCGUGGGGGAUAACGUGGCGAAAGUCACGCUAAUACCGCAUACGUCCUGAGGGAGAAAGCAGGGGAUCGCAAGACCUUGCGCGAUUGGAGCGGCCGAUGUCUGAUUAGCUAGUUGGUGGGGUAAAGGCCUACCAAGGCGACGAUCAGUAGCUGGUCUGAGAGGACGAUCAGCCACACUGGGACUGAGACACGGCCCAGACUCCUACGGGAGGCAGCAGUGGGGAAUUUUGGACAAUGGGCGAAAGCCUGAUCCAGCCAUUCCGCGUGAGUGAAGAAGGCCUUCGGGUUGUAAAGCUCUUUCGGCAGGAACGAAACGGCAGUCUCUAAUACAGGCUGCUAAUGACGGUACCUGAAGAAGAAGCACCGGCUAACUACGUGCCAGCAG